RNAcentral lists this ribosomal RNA (214 nucleotides) under uncultured bacterium. RNAcentral's name for it is "partial 16S ribosomal RNA". It matches the Rfam family "Bacterial small subunit ribosomal RNA", at positions 117 to 331 of the family's 1533-position model. The record is from RNAcentral.
AUAAGCAACGUGCCCUGAAGACUGGGAUAGCCCGGGGAAACCCGGAGUAAUACCGGAUGUGGCCACUUUCAGGAUCUGGGAGUGAUUAAAUGGUUUUUCGCUUCAGGAGCGGCUUAUGGCCUAUCAGCUAGUUGGUGAGGUAACGGCUCACCAAGGCGACGACGGGUAACGGGUCUGAGAGGAUGAUCCGUCCGAGUGGGACUGAGACACGGCC